UCACCCUUACCUAACGGGUUUUGAGAAGUUCAGGGGGGAGUAUGUAGCUGAGAUAUAAUGUACGAAUUGUGAACAUUCUCAAAACUGUAUUGUACAUAGGUUAUACUUUUUUAUUGUGUGAACUUUAUUUUUGUGGAACUAAGGUUCCGUGUGUUAUUGUUGAAGUGGGACAUUAAUCAGUGUAACGCCACCUGCGGCCACAUUGCGGGUGUGGGGUUUCCUAGCCAGAGCUGUACGGACUCCACACUGGGUGAGGAGAAGCCUGCUGCCGCUGUGUGACACUGAUUUUGCUGCUGCACUCUGUUUUAUAGGAAUAAACCCUGUUUCCAGCCAGUCCGUGUCUGUUGUCACAACGCAGUCGACCAUUUCACAUCUGCUACACAGGCAGCUACUCAGCCUUUAAGCGGAGGGACAGUCUGGCCAGCUGAUGACCCAACCAGAGGUCUUAUAGCUUACAAAAGAGGAUGUUGGCUAUAUAGAUCAAGCUAGACACUUUCUGGUCUUCUUAGCAGAGCUGCUCGAUCCCAAAUCUAGAAAUCUGGCCAAAUUUAUUAAACACCACAAAACAUUUUGGAUUUGGAUGAUUAAACAUUAGAUCUCUGUCUUCUAAGUCCCAGUAAGUACACAAAUUAAUAACUGAUCAACAAAUUGAUUUACUCUGAAUUAGAUAAACUGGUUACAGCCUAGUUAGUUUAAAUUAAUCAACACCCCCGAGUCAUACUAAUUGUCAGAAUCCCUAAAACAGAGGCCAAGGACGGCAUGUGGCAGCAAUCUUCCACUCCAGCUCAUUAAUGAACCAAAGACCCAGACAGAGUUUUAAUUCAUUUAAAAAUCUGAUGCUUAGCUUAGCUAGAAAGCUCCAA
This is a non-coding RNA of Maylandia zebra (zebra mbuna), 863 nucleotides long. The record is from RefSeq and is a predicted model, not a curated record. NCBI's taxonomy places the organism in Eukaryota, Metazoa, Chordata, Actinopteri, Cichliformes, Cichlidae.